This 536-nucleotide ribosomal RNA is filed under the name uncultured bacterium. RNAcentral's name for it is "bacterial SSU rRNA". It matches the Rfam family "Bacterial small subunit ribosomal RNA", at positions 355 to 896 of the family's 1533-position model. The record is from RNAcentral.
UGGGGAAUAUUGCACAAUGGACGGAAGUCUGAUGCAGCGACGCCGCGUGGAGGAUGACGGCCUUCGGGUUGUAAACUCCUUUCAGCAGGGAAGAAGCCUUUCGGGGUGACGGUACUUGCAGAAGAAGCGCCGGCUAACUACGUGCCAGCAGCCGCGGUAAUACGUAGGGCGCAAGCGUUGUCCGGAAUUAUUGGGCGUAAAGGGCUCGUAGGCGGUUGGUCACGUCUGCUGUGAAAACGCGAGGCUUAACCUCGCGCCUGCAGUGGGUACGGGCUGACUAGAGUGUGGUAGGGGAGGCUGGAAUUCCUGGUGUAGCGGUGGAAUGCGCAGAUAUCAGGAGGAACACCGAUGGCGAAGGCAGGUCUCUGGGCCACUACUGACGCUGAGGAGCGAAAGCAUGGGUAGCGAACAGGAUUAGAUACCCUGGUAGUCCAUGCCGUAAACGGUGGGCACUAGGUGUGGGCUCCGUUUCCACGGGUUCUGCGCCGUAGCUAACGCAUUAAGUGCCCCGCCUGGGGAGUACGGCCGCAAGGCUA